Molecule: long non-coding RNA, 450 nt
Filed under: Equus asinus (donkey)
Lineage: Eukaryota; Metazoa; Chordata; Mammalia; Perissodactyla; Equidae
Description: lncRNA (ENSEASG00005027118.1)
Source: RNAcentral
GAGAAAACCAAAGUGAUUGUUGUGACAAGAAGGUAUAGUACACGCUCCAUGAUGGAGGAGGUUUAUCAGGAUGGAAAAGAUGGAAAUAGAGGGUUGAGACAAUUUGACAGAAGUCAACUACAGGAAUAAAACCAGACCACAUGGUAGGAGAAGAUAAUUUGUAGAAGAUUGCUGAUUCAGAGACUCAACUUAGAGUCAGGGACUUCAUGUCUUAUACACAGGGUAUAUUUACAAACCUAGCGGCCAUCAAGCAAAGGAAUAUUCUCUGAGAAACAUCUGCCCUCAUCCAAUGAGUAAGCAACUAACGCUGCUUUCUCAGUAAGAGAGGUUAAGCUUCCUUCUAGUCGAUCCUAAAAAGGCACAGCUGAGGAGUUAGGAUGUCUUUCAAACUCUUACGUGAGCUUGGAUAUGGUUGGUUCACAGGAGCUCUUCUAUAUAGAUGACUUCAGC